Non-coding RNA from Bradyrhizobium sp. BTAi1, 83 nucleotides. The record is from Rfam. NCBI's taxonomy places the organism in Bacteria, Pseudomonadati, Pseudomonadota, Alphaproteobacteria, Hyphomicrobiales, Nitrobacteraceae.
AGAUUUAGCCCUUCUUGGGGCGUUUCCUCCCUGGACUUGGGCCGCCUGUACGUCCUGUGCAGGCGGCUUCUUUCUUUGUCAGU